Non-coding RNA from Triticum aestivum (bread wheat), 135 nucleotides. NCBI's taxonomy places the organism in Eukaryota, Viridiplantae, Streptophyta, Magnoliopsida, Poales, Poaceae. The record is from Rfam.
AAAGUACUCCCUCUGUCCCAAAAUUCUUGUCUUACAUUUGUCUAAAUACGGAUGUAUCUAGUUACGUUUUAAUAUUAGAUACAUCCGUAUCUAGACAAAUCUAAGACAAGAAUUUUGGGACGGAGGGAGUAUAAA